This is a transfer RNA of Plasmodium yoelii yoelii 17XNL, 73 nucleotides long. It matches the Rfam family "tRNA". From Rfam's summary of the family: Transfer RNA (tRNA) molecules are approximately 80 nucleotides in length. Their secondary structure includes four short double-helical elements and three loops (D, anti-codon, and T loops). Further hydrogen bonds mediate the characteristic L-shaped molecular structure. tRNAs have two regions of fundamental functional importance: the anti-codon, which is responsible for specific mRNA codon recognition, and the 3' end, to which the tRNAs corresponding amino acid is attached (by aminoacyl-tRNA synthetases). tRNAs cope with the degeneracy of the genetic code in two manners: having more than one tRNA (with a specific anti-codon) for a particular amino acid; and 'wobble' base-pairing, i.e. permitting non-standard base-pairing at the 3rd anti-codon position. NCBI's taxonomy places the organism in Eukaryota, Apicomplexa, Aconoidasida, Haemosporida, Plasmodiidae. The record is from Rfam.
AAUGAUAUAACUUAAUUAGGUAAAGUGAAUAAUUGCAAAUUAUUUUAUUUCAGUUCAAAUCUGAAUAUCAUUU